UGGCAGCUGAGGGGUGUGGGCUGAGAU
This 27-nucleotide non-coding RNA is filed under the name Homo sapiens (human). The record is from RNAcentral. Lineage: Eukaryota; Metazoa; Chordata; Mammalia; Primates; Hominidae.